Molecule: non-coding RNA, 61 nt
Organism: Pristionchus pacificus
Lineage: Eukaryota; Metazoa; Nematoda; Chromadorea; Rhabditida; Neodiplogasteridae
Source: Rfam
UCUUCAUUUCCUACGCUCUCUCACCGGUCAGAGAGGCGAGAGAGUGUGUGAAAUGAAGAGA